UGCACGAUUUCUUGGUUUUUGC
RNAcentral lists this non-coding RNA (22 nucleotides) under Arabidopsis thaliana (thale cress). The record is from RNAcentral. Lineage: Eukaryota; Viridiplantae; Streptophyta; Magnoliopsida; Brassicales; Brassicaceae.